UACGAAGGGUGCAAGCGUUACUCGGAAUUACUGGGCGUAAAGCGUGCGUAGGUGGUGAGUUAAGUCUGUCGUGAAAGCCCCGGGCUCAACCUGGGAAUGGCGAUGGAUACUGGCUCGCUAGAGUGCGGUAGAGGAGAGUGGAAUUCCCGGUGUAGCAGUGAAAUGCGUAGAGAUCGGGAGGAACAUCAGUGGCGAAGGCGAGUCUCUGGGAUGAUACUGACGCUGAUGCUCGAAAGCUAGGGGAGCAAACGGG
This 253-nucleotide ribosomal RNA is filed under the name uncultured bacterium. RNAcentral describes it as "partial 16S ribosomal RNA". It matches the Rfam family "Bacterial small subunit ribosomal RNA", at positions 524 to 776 of the family's 1533-position model. The record is from RNAcentral.